RNAcentral lists this unclassified non-coding RNA (200 nucleotides) under Nectriaceae sp. Its description in RNAcentral is "partial internal transcribed spacer 2". Lineage: Eukaryota; Fungi; Ascomycota; Sordariomycetes; Hypocreales; Nectriaceae. The record is from RNAcentral.
UUAAGUUCAGCGGGUAUUCCUACCUGAUCCGAGGUCAACCUUCAGAAGUGGGGGGUUUAACGGCUCGACCACGCUGAGUUCCGGUGCGAGGUACAUUACUACGCAGAGGAGGCUACAGCGAGACCGCCACUAUAUUUCGGGGGCGGCAGCGCCCUUGGGGCAGCAGCCGAUCCCCAACACCAAGCUGGGCUUGAGGGUUG